UACGAAGGGGGCUAGCGUUGCUCGGAAUUACUGGGCGUAAAGCGCACGUAGGCGGCUUUCUAAGUCGGAGGUGAAAUCCUGGAGCUCAACUCCAGAACUGCCUUCGAUACUGGAGCUUGAGUCCGGGAGAGGUGAGUGGAACUGCGAGUGUAGAGGUGAAAUUCGUAGAUAUUCGCAAGAACACCAGUGGCGAAGGCGGCUCACUGGCCCGGUACUGACGCUGAGGUGCGAAAGCGUGGGGAGCAAACAGG
This 251-nucleotide ribosomal RNA is filed under the name uncultured bacterium. RNAcentral describes it as "partial 16S ribosomal RNA". It matches the Rfam family "Bacterial small subunit ribosomal RNA", at positions 524 to 776 of the family's 1533-position model. The record is from RNAcentral.